Felis catus (domestic cat) is the source of this 3387-nucleotide long non-coding RNA. RefSeq lists it as uncharacterized. The record is from RefSeq and is a predicted model, not a curated record. Lineage: Eukaryota; Metazoa; Chordata; Mammalia; Carnivora; Felidae. The transcript is spliced from 2 exons.
ACCUUGGCACAAGCCUUGGCAUCUCUAACCAUGUUUAGAUGGUUAAAGUGAGAUUACAUCAUACUUUCCUAACUUUCAGGAAGAAUGCAGUAAAGAUAUCCCCUGAAUAUUUCAGACAGCAGGUCCUUUCUUAUGUAGUUGGUGUGCAUUCCAAAUAUGCCUCAUGGUAACCAAGAAUGUGAACAAAGGAAGGAGAAUCCAGAGUUUUGGAGUUCCCAGCUGGGGCCCAGCCUGCAUUAUGGCCAAGAUCAUUGCAAUCACUGACUUGCAUUGUAAUUGUGUGAAUGACUCACAAAUCCAGCAGAUGUCUGCAAACAAGUAGGAAUUAGAUCCAGGCCAAAAAGUAACUCUAUCAAAUCAGUUGAAACUCUAUUAAGCAAAUGAAUAGGAAGAGGCAGCAAACUCCUGUGGUGUCCUAGACUUAGUUACCAUGGGGAAGUAGAGUCCAGCUAAGGUUAUAUACAUUGAAUAUGUGAUUUUUAUCUGGAAAUAAAGAUAAUCUUAUGUAUUUUAGGUAGGGAUCUGGUUACAACCCCUUUUCCCACCCACAUAUAUCCAUUUGUUAAAGUACUUUACACUUAAGGACAAUCGAUAUUGUGAGUUACUUAGCGAUUUCACAAUCAUCAAAUCAUUCUACCCACCCCCCACCCCCAGAAACUCUGUAAGUAUAAAAUCGACAUUCACAGGUAAAGAAACAAAGGCUCCAAGAAGUUAAGUGAUGCCAUAUUUAGUAUUUGUACCAAUACUAUUAAGUUAGGAAGAAGUUUUUAGCAAUCCCCCAACCUUCCACCUAAAGUUUAAUGAUGAUCUACUAAGCAGGUUCUCAUUCAGAUAUUUAAUUCUCAAGGCAUCCUUCAUCAAGAGUGGAGUCCAAAUUAAUAGGAAGCACUCUUUUCUUGAUCGGGAAUGGUAUCACUAAUCUUUGUGAUACAGCAACUUGCUCUUUCUAUGACUCGGCUCCUUCCUUUUAAAAUGAAGAAUCAGACCACUCGAGUAACUCUCAACUUGUAUAUAUGCUCAGGAUUGUAUUUUCCUACCAAGGUUUAUUGAUAGAUUAAACCACUAUGCAUGUUUACCAAGUAAUAAAAAAUAUUUUCUUCUAAGUAAAGAGUGAUUGUCUUUUUGGCUAUGGAAAUAGUAAAUACAAUGAUGGGGUUUACCACCUUUGUGGACCUCUGGGGAUCUGGCAGUGUGGGAUGGAAUAAUUGGAUUAAAUGAAGAGACGAAACUUAAGUUCUUUCCAACUUCGAGUGUUGAUGAAAACUUUGAGGUAAACUGGAGUAAUUCAGAUAAUUUCCAAGUGAUUGUAGGGAAACAUUAAUUAGUGCUUCAAAAAUCCUGAUAUUUUAGAUCAGUUUGUUUUUCUGGCCCAUUUUUUUUUUUUUUUUAUAAAAUGAGGAAACUGAGGAAACCAUUUUUAUAAAGUGAGGCAUAGAGGUUAAGUGUCUUGCCUAAAAAAGAGGGCCAAACCAGGGUAGAAAUGCCAUAGUCUCCCACUGAUUCCAUACCAAAUUACAUGGCAAUGUGAUUGCCAUCGACCUCUUUUGGACCUCUGUGACACAUAGAUUCAAGGCUCAUGAGAGGUGCACUAGCAGAGGGAGAAAUGCAGGGAGAAUUCCUUUAUUCACCUUUAUGAUAUAUAUAUAUUUUGUUUUUAAAGCUUUCAAUUUGGGAGAAUAUUUUCAAGAAAAAUGAUGCAUGUGUCCAAGGAAAGGCGUAGUGUUGCUUUGGGGACUGGGACAUUAAGGAAAAGAUGAGACUUACGUUUUCUUUCCACAGAUGGCACCUUGGUACCAGUUCCUACAAGUGCUGAAGUAUUUCUUUUUGGUGCCUAAAAUCUGUUGAAGGGCACAGACAUUUGGGCUGGAAGACAGAGGGAAGGAAAGAGAGUCAGUGUCCCAACGACAACCAGUGUUUCAUACCUUCAGGUCAGAUGAUUCAGAAAAAAAGUUAACAUGUGGACUCAAUUUUCAAAGAUGUGAUUCUAGUCUUGCAAAAAUCUACUUCUUGAUUCAAUCAUACUGAAUCAUUAGAAAAACUAAAUUCUAUGGGAGAGAAAAAAGAGAGAGGAAAUUAUACAUCCUUGAGAGAACACCAGCAUUUCAAAAGUUAAUUUAGUAGGAAUAUUCAAGCAGCACUAAGUUCAACUUAGUUUUGUUGUCAUGUGUGUCUUAUUAUUUCUAGUAGUAAGAUAAUCUACUGACCCUUCCUAAAUCAAACAUGUGCUCAUUUGGGAUUCUAAUCUGGAACAAUGGACUCUGGAACAGUGAGGAAUCAGAAAGCAAAGAGACAAGUUUUCCUAUGUCAAAAAACACCGCAUUCUGUCAUUUUCUAGAGUUUCAAGUAACAGAGUCUUAAUCCAUCCUGGGCAUCAUACGGGAACUUGUAUAAGUCCCAUGGAAGUCAACAAAUGCUACCCCUCAGCAAAUAUUUACACGCAGGAUAAGUAAUACCAUCAAGGACAAUCUUGAAAAUGAGGGCCAGACUGCACAUAAACUACAUGUAAAUUUAGAGGGUGGAGAGGGUUUCAAAAGAAGGAAAACCUUAGUGUAAAUAUAAAAACAUGAGAGUACUGCAACUGAAAAAGCCAAGCUCAGCUCGGGAGUGUGAUACUAUAUGAUAUUAUGGAGUAGUAGAAAGUCAAGCAACUGUUUUAGCCAGGAUCCUAGCUUCUGGUAGACAAAUUGAACCAUAGUCCCUAUCUGACAGUGCUGGGUAGGCUGAGGGAAGGAAAACAGUUUCAGAGAAUGGGAGAAAAGAUAGUCUAAGGUGUGGAAAAGGGAAAAAUCUCUCUUGUCUGAGCGUUCAGCAGGGUCAAUGUCUCUCUCAUUCUUUCUCUCCACACAGGGCCCUUAUUCUUUUGCUUCAUGAAAGGAUCCUGCCUCUGGGUUGGCUACGUAAUUUUAUUAGUAGUUUGUAGGAGGGCUGAAAUCUUGGCAAUUGAAUCUAAUUUUCAGGGUUGUAAAGUCUGACCUGGAAAUGUAAGUCAUUAAUGAAAAGGAAGUGACUUAUUAUGCAACCAAAGAAAAAUAAUGUGUCUGAAAGAUAGAGCCAUUUGUUUCUAGCUAUCAGGUUGCUAAUUUAUGGGCAGUUUUCGAAUUAUCCAGUGGAUCUUUGCAGCAAGCCUUGUAGCCUCUGGAGACUGUGAAAUCAUCGUGAUAGUAUGCCUACUCUUGCUAGCAUGUAACCAAUAUGGCCCACACACUGUAGGGUUGAGAUUGCCUAUGGAUGCAACAAACCUGAAUACCCAGGCCUAGAGUAGAUUUUUUAGAAGACAUUUCCUUGGUUUGGAAUCAUCCAGAGUAGUUAUUUGCCUCAAAUUAUGUAUAAACUCCUGCUUUUGAACAUAUGUUCUGUGGGAUAUUAAAAACAUUUCUUGGAGCACCA